This 483-nucleotide ribosomal RNA is filed under the name uncultured bacterium. Its description in RNAcentral is "partial 16S ribosomal RNA". It matches the Rfam family "Bacterial small subunit ribosomal RNA", at positions 29 to 507 of the family's 1533-position model. The record is from RNAcentral.
UUGAACGCUGGCGGCAUGCUUUACACAUGCAAGUCGAACGGCAGCGCGGGUUUCGGCCUGGCGGCGAGUGGCGAACGGGUGAGUAAUACAUCGGAACGUGCCCAGUAGUGGGGGAUAGCUCGGCGAAAGCCGGAUUAAUACCGCAUACGACCUGAGGGUGAAAGCGGGGGAUCUUCGGACCUCGCGCUAUUGGAGCGGCCGAUGGCAGAUUAGCUAGUUGGUGGGGUAAAGGCCUACCAAGGCGACGAUCUGUAGCUGGUCUGAGAGGACGACCAGCCACACUGGGACUGAGACACGGCCCAGACUCCUACGGGAGGCAGCAGUGGGGAAUUUUGGACAAUGGGCGAAAGCCUGAUCCAGCAAUGCCGCGUGUGUGAUGAAGGCCUUCGGGUUGUAAAGCACUUUUGGCGGGAACGAAAAGGACUGUGCCAAUACCACGGUUCGAUGACGGUACCCGCAGAAUAAGCACCGGCUAACUACGUG